RNAcentral lists this small RNA (125 nucleotides) under Marmota monax (woodchuck). Lineage: Eukaryota; Metazoa; Chordata; Mammalia; Rodentia; Sciuridae. The record is from RNAcentral.
GCCAGGCAAGGUGGGGCAUGCCUGUAAUCCUAGCAGCUCAGGAGGUGGAGACAGGAGGAUUGCGAGUUCAAAGCCAGCCUUGGCAAAAGCCAGGCUCUAAGCAACUCAGUGAGACCCUGUUUCUA